RNAcentral lists this ribosomal RNA (2900 nucleotides) under Klebsiella pneumoniae. RNAcentral describes it as "23S ribosomal RNA". It matches the Rfam family "Bacterial large subunit ribosomal RNA". The record is from RNAcentral. Lineage: Bacteria; Pseudomonadati; Pseudomonadota; Gammaproteobacteria; Enterobacterales; Enterobacteriaceae.
GGUUAAGCGACUAAGCGUACACGGUGGAUGCCCUGGCAGUCAGAGGCGAUGAAGGACGUGCUAAUCUGCGAAAAGCGUCGGUAAGGUGAUAUGAACCGUUAUAACCGGCGAUGUCCGAAUGGGGAAACCCAGUGCAAUUCGUUGCACUAUCGUUAACUGAAUACAUAGGUUAACGAGGCGAACCGGGGGAACUGAAACAUCUAAGUACCCCGAGGAAAAGAAAUCAACCGAGAUUCCCCCAGUAGCGGCGAGCGAACGGGGAGCAGCCCAGAGUCUGAAUCAGCUUGUGUGUUAGUGGAACGGUCUGGAAAGUCCGACGGUACAGGGUGAUAGUCCCGUACACCAAAAUGCACAGGUUGUGAACUCGAAGAGUAGGGCGGGACACGUGGUAUCCUGUCUGAAUAUGGGGGGACCAUCCUCCAAGGCUAAAUACUCCUGACUGACCGAUAGUGAACCAGUACCGUGAGGGAAAGGCGAAAAGAACCCCGGCGAGGGGAGUGAAAAAGAACCUGAAACCGUGUACGUACAAGCAGUGGGAGCACCUUCGGGUGUGACUGCGUACCUUUUGUAUAAUGGGUCAGCGACUUAUAUUCUGUAGCAAGGUUAACCGUAUAGGGGAGCCGCAGGGAAACCGAGUCUUAACUGGGCGUUAAGUUGCAGGGUAUAGACCCGAAACCCGGUGAUCUAGCCAUGGGCAGGUUGAAGGUUGGGUAACACUAACUGGAGGACCGAACCGACUAAUGUUGAAAAAUUAGCGGAUGACUUGUGGCUGGGGGUGAAAGGCCAAUCAAACCGGGAGAUAGCUGGUUCUCCCCGAAAGCUAUUUAGGUAGCGCCUCGUGAACUCAUCUUCGGGGGUAGAGCACUGUUUCGGCUAGGGGGUCAUCCCGACUUACCAACCCGAUGCAAACUACGAAUACCGAAGAAUGUUAUCACGGGAGACACACGGCGGGUGCUAACGUCCGUCGUGAAGAGGGAAACAACCCAGACCGCCAGCUAAGGUCCCAAAGUCAUGGUUAAGUGGGAAACGAUGUGGGAAGGCACAGACAGCCAGGAUGUUGGCUUAGAAGCAGCCAUCAUUUAAAGAAAGCGUAAUAGCUCACUGGUCGAGUCGGCCUGCGCGGAAGAUGUAACGGGGCUAAACCAUGCACCGAAGCUGCGGCAGCGACACUAUGUGUUGUUGGGUAGGGGAGCGUUCUGUAAGCCUGCGAAGGUGUGCUGUGAGGCAUGCUGGAGGUAUCAGAAGUGCGAAUGCUGACAUAAGUAACGAUAAAGCGGGUGAAAAGCCCGCUCGCCGGAAGACCAAGGGUUCCUGUCCAACGUUAAUCGGGGCAGGGUGAGUCGACCCCUAAGGCGAGGCCGAAAGGCGUAGUCGAUGGGAAACAGGUUAAUAUUCCUGUACUUGGUGUUACUGCGAAGGGGGACGGAGAAGGCUAUGUUAGCCGGGCGACGGUUGUCCCGGUUUAAGCAUGUAGGCUGGUUAUCCAGGCAAAUCCGGAUAAUCAAGGCUGAGGUGUGAUGACGAGGCACUACGGUGCUGAAGUAACAAAUGCCCUGCUUCCAGGAAAAGCCUCUAAGCAUCAGGUAACAUUAAAUCGUACCCCAAACCGACACAGGUGGUCAGGUAGAGAAUACCAAGGCGCUUGAGAGAACUCGGGUGAAGGAACUAGGCAAAAUGGUGCCGUAACUUCGGGAGAAGGCACGCUGGUGUGUAGGUGAAGUCCCUGCGGAUGGAGCUGAGACCAGUCGAAGAUACCAGCUGGCUGCAACUGUUUAUUAAAAACACAGCACUGUGCAAACACGAAAGUGGACGUAUACGGUGUGACGCCUGCCCGGUGCCGGAAGGUUAAUUGAUGGGGUUAUCCGUAAGGAGAAGCUCUUGAUCGAAGCCCCGGUAAACGGCGGCCGUAACUAUAACGGUCCUAAGGUAGCGAAAUUCCUUGUCGGGUAAGUUCCGACCUGCACGAAUGGCGUAAUGAUGGCCAGGCUGUCUCCACCCGAGACUCAGUGAAAUUGAACUCGCUGUGAAGAUGCAGUGUACCCGCGGCAAGACGGAAAGACCCCGUGAACCUUUACUAUAGCUUGACACUGAACAUUGAGCCUUGAUGUGUAGGAUAGGUGGGAGGCUUUGAAGCGUGGACGCCAGUCUGCGUGGAGCCAACCUUGAAAUACCACCCUUUAAUGUUUGAUGUUCUAACGUUGGCCCCUUACCGGGGUUGCGGACAGUGUCUGGUGGGUAGUUUGACUGGGGCGGUCUCCUCCCAAAGCGUAACGGAGGAGCACGAAGGUUAGCUAAUCCUGGUCGGACAUCAGGAGGUUAGUGCAAUGGCAUAAGCUAGCUUGACUGCGAGCGUGACGGCGCGAGCAGGUGCGAAAGCAGGUCAUAGUGAUCCGGUGGUUCUGAAUGGAAGGGCCAUCGCUCAACGGAUAAAAGGUACUCCGGGGAUAACAGGCUGAUACCGCCCAAGAGUUCAUAUCGACGGCGGUGUUUGGCACCUCGAUGUCGGCUCAUCACAUCCUGGGGCUGAAGUAGGUCCCAAGGGUAUGGCUGUUCGCCAUUUAAAGUGGUACGCGAGCUGGGUUUAGAACGUCGUGAGACAGUUCGGUCCCUAUCUGCCGUGGGCGCUGGAGAAUUGAGGGGGCUGCUCCUAGUACGAGAGGACCGGAGUGGACGCAUCACUGGUGUUCGGGUUGUCAUGCCAAUGGCACUGCCCGGUAGCUAAAUGCGGAAGAGAUAAGUGCUGAAAGCAUCUAAGCACGAAACUUGCCCCGAGAUGAGUUCUCCCUGAGACUUUAAGUCUCCUGAAGGAACGUUGAAGACGACGACGUUGAUAGGCCGGGUGUGUAAGCGCAGCGAUGCGUUGAGCUAACCGGUACUAAUGAACCGUGAGGCUUAACCUU